GGGCGUGUGGUCUAGUGGUAUGAUACCCGCUUUAGGGAUGCGGGUGGCCCGGGGUUCAAUUCCCCGCUCGCCCC
RNAcentral lists this transfer RNA (74 nucleotides) under Naumovozyma dairenensis CBS 421. RNAcentral's name for it is "tRNA-Leu". It matches the Rfam family "tRNA". Rfam says of the family: Transfer RNA (tRNA) molecules are approximately 80 nucleotides in length. Lineage: Eukaryota; Fungi; Ascomycota; Saccharomycetes; Saccharomycetales; Saccharomycetaceae. The record is from RNAcentral.